GAAGCGAACGCGGUGAACUGAAACAUCUAAGUAACCGCAGGAAAAGAAAUCAACCGAGAUUCCCAAAGUAGUGGCGAGCGAAAUGGGAUGAGCCUUGUACUCUUUAUUCGUAUUGUUAGCCGAACGCUCUGGAAAGUGCGGCCAUAGCAGGUGAUAGCCCUGUAGGCGAAAACAGUAUGAAAGAACUAGGUGUACGACAAGUAGGGCGGGACACGUGAAAUCCUGUCUGAAGAUGGGGGGACCAUCCUCCAAGGCUAAAUACUCGUGAUCGACCGAUAGUGAACCAGUACCGUGAGGGAAAGGCGAAAAGAACCCCGGGAGGGGAGUGAAAUAGAUCCUGAAACCGCAUGCAUACAAACAGUCGGAGCCUCGUAAGGGGUGACGGCGUACCUUUUGUAUAAUGGGUCAGCGACUUACGUUCAGUAGCAAGCUUAACCGUAUAGGGCAGGCGUAGCGAAAGCGAGUCCGAAUAGGGCGUUCAGUUGCUGGGCGUAGACCCGAAACCAGGUGAUCUAUCCAUGGCCAGGAUGAAGGUGCGGUAACACGUACUGGAGGUCCGAACCCACUAACGUUGAAAAGUUAGGGGAUGAGCUGUGGAUAGGGGUGAAAGGCUAAACAAACCUGGAAAUAGCUGGUUCUCUCCGAAAACUAUUUAGGUAGUGCCUCGUGUCUCACCUUCGGGGGUAGAGCACUGUCAUGGUUGGGGGGUCUAUUGCAGAUUACCCCGCCAUAGCAAACUCCGAAUACCGAAGAGUGCAAUCACGGGAGACAGACAUCGGGUGCUAACGUCCGGUGUCAAGAGGGAAACAACCCAGACCGCCAGCUAAGGUCCCCAAAUAUGGCUAAGUGGGAAACGAAGUGGGAAGGCUAAAACAGUCAGGAGGUUGGCUUAGAAGCAGCCACCCUUUAAAGAAAGCGUAAUAGCUCACUGAUCGAGUCGUCCUGCGCGGAAGAUGUAACGGGGCUAAGCCAUAUACCGAAGCUGCGGAUGCGUGCUUGCACGCAUGGUAGGAGAGCGUUCCGUAAGCCUGCGAAGGUGCCUUGUAAAGGGUGCUGGAGGUAUCGGAAGUGCGAAUGCUGACAUGAGUAGCGAUAAAGGGGGUGAAAGGCCCCCUCGCCGUAAGCCCAAGGUUUCCUACGCAACGUUCAUCGGCGUAGGGUGAGUCGGCCCCUAAGGCGAGGCAGAAAUGCGUAGCUGAUGGGAAGCAGGUCAAUAUUCCUGCACCGUCGUUAGAUGCGAUGGGGGGACGGAUCGCGGAAGGUUGUCCGGGUGUUGGACGUCCCGGUCGCUGCAUUGGAGAAGGCGCUUAGGCAAAUCCGGGCGCAGGAUUCAAGGGUGUGGCGCGAGCGACUUCGGUCGCGAAGCAAUUGGAAGUGGUUCCAAGAAAAGCCUCUAAGCUUCAGUCUAACGAUGACCGUACCGCAAACCGACACAGGUGGGCGAGAUGAGUAUUCUAAGGCGCUUGAGAGAACUCGGGAGAAGGAACUCGGCAAAUUGGUACCGUAACUUCGGGAUAAGGUACGCCCUUGUAGCUUGACCAGCCUGCGCUGGAAGGGUGAAGGGGUUGCAAUAAACUGGUGGCUGCGACUGUUUAAUAAAAACACAGCACUCUGCAAACACGAAAGUGGACGUAUAGGGUGUGACGCCUGCCCGGUGCCGGAAGAUUAAAUGAUGGGGUGCAAGCUCUUGAUUGAAGUCCCGGUAAACGGCGGCCGUAACUAUAACGGUCCUAAGGUAGCGAAAUUCCUUGUCGGGUAAGUUCCGACCUGCACGAAUGGCGUAACGAUGGCCACACUGUCUCCUCCCGAGACUCAGCGAAGUUGAAGUGUUUGUGAUGAUGCAAUCUACCCGCGGCUAGACGGAAAGACCCCAUGAACCUUUACUGUAGCUUUGCAUUGGACUUUGAACCGAUCUGUGUAGGAUAGGUGGGAGGCUAUGAAACCGGAACGCUAGUUUCGGUGGAGCCGUCCUUGAAAUACCACCCUGGUUUGUUUGAGGUUCUAACCUUGGUCCGUGAUCCGGAUCGGGGACAGUGCAUGGUAGGCAGUUUGACUGGGGCGGUCUCCUCCCAAAGGGUAACGGAGGAGUACGAAGGUACGCUAGGUACGGUCGGAAAUCGUGCUGAUAGUGCAAUGGCAUAAGCGUGCUUAACUGCGAGACCGACAAGUCGAGCAGGUGCGAAAGCAGGUCAUAGUGAUCCGGUGGUUCUGUAUGGAAGGGCCAUCGCUCAACGGAUAAAAGGUACUCUGGGGAUAACAGGCUGAUACCGCCCAAGAGUUCAUAUCGACGGCGGUGUUUGGCACCUCGAUGUCGGCUCAUCUCAUCCUGGGGCUGUAGCCGGUCCCAAGGGUAUGGCUGUUCGCCAUUUAAAGAGGUACGUGAGCUGGGUUUAAAACGUCGUGAGACAGUUUGGUCCCUAUCUGCCGUGGGCGUUGGAUAUUUGAAGGGGGCUGCUCCUAGUACGAGAGGACCGGAGUGGACGAACCUCUGGUGUACCGGUUGUGACGCCAGUCGCAUCGCCGGGUAGCUAUGUUCGGAAGAGAUAACCGCUGAAAGCAUCUAAGCGGGAAACUCGCCUUAAGAUGAGAUAUCCCUGGAGGCUUGACCUCCUUGAAGGGUCGUUCGAGACCAGGACGUUGAUAGGUCGGGUGUGUAAGCGCAGUAAUGCGUUCAGCUAACCGAUACUAAUUGCCCGUAAGGCUUGAUCCU
This 2710-nucleotide ribosomal RNA is filed under the name Burkholderia multivorans. RNAcentral's name for it is "partial 23S ribosomal RNA". It matches the Rfam family "Bacterial large subunit ribosomal RNA". Lineage: Bacteria; Pseudomonadati; Pseudomonadota; Betaproteobacteria; Burkholderiales; Burkholderiaceae. The record is from RNAcentral.